CCUACGGGUGGCAGCAGUGAGGAAUAUUGGUCAAUGGGCGCGAGCCUGAACCAGCCAAGUAGCGUGAAGGAUGACUGCCCUACGGGUUGUAAACUUCUUUUAUAAAGGAAUAAAGUGAGGCACGUGUGCCUUUUUGUAUGUACUUUAUGAAUAAGGAUCGGCUAACUCCGUGCCAGCAGCCGCGGUAAUACGGAGGAUGCGAGCGUUAUCCGGAUUUAUUGGGUUUAAAGGGUGCGUAGGCGGGCGUUUAAGUCAGCGGUAAAAUUUCGGGGCUCAACCCCGUCGGGCCGUUGAAACUGGGAGACUUGAGUGGGCGAGAAGAAGGCGGAAUGCGCGGUGUAGCGGUGAAAUGCAUAGAUAUCACGCAGAACCCCGAUUGCGAAGGCAGCGUACCGGCGCCCGACUGACGCUGAGGGACGAAAGUGUGGGGAUCGAACAGGAUUAGAUACCCGGGUAGUC
Molecule: ribosomal RNA, 459 nt
Filed under: uncultured bacterium
Lineage: Bacteria
Description: partial 16S ribosomal RNA
Rfam family: Bacterial small subunit ribosomal RNA
Source: RNAcentral